UGGGUCAGCGACUUAUAUUCUGUAGCAAGGUUAACCGUAUAGGGGAGCCGCAGGGAAACCGAGUCUUAACCGGGCGUUAAGUUGCAGGGUAUAGACCCGAAACCCGGUGAUCUAGCCAUGGGCAGGUUGAAGGUUGGGUAACACUAACUGGAGGACCGAACCGACUAAUGUUGAAAAAUUAGCGGAUGACCUGUGGCUGGGGGUGAAAGGCCAAUCAAACCGGGAGAUAGCUGGUUCUCCCCGAAAGCUAUUUAGGUAGCGCCUCGUGAAUUCAUCUCCGGGGGUAGAGCACUGUUUCGGCUAGGGGGCCAUCCCGGCUUACCAACCCGAUGCAAACUGCGAAUACCGGAGAAUGUUAUCACGGGAGACACACGGCGGGUGCUAACGUCCGUCGUGAAGAGGGAAACAACCCAGACCGCCAGCUAAGGUCCCAAAGUCAUGGUUAAGUGGGAAACGAUGUGGGAAGGCCCAGACAGCCAGGAUGUUGGCUUAGAAGCAGCCAUCAUUUAAAGAAAGCGUAAUAGCUCACUGGUCGAGUCGGCCUGCGCGGAAGAUGUAACGGGGCUAAACCAU
Molecule: ribosomal RNA, 573 nt
Filed under: Salmonella enterica
Lineage: Bacteria; Pseudomonadati; Pseudomonadota; Gammaproteobacteria; Enterobacterales; Enterobacteriaceae
Description: partial 23S ribosomal RNA
Rfam family: Bacterial large subunit ribosomal RNA
Source: RNAcentral